AGUGGCGGACGGGUGAGUAAUGUCUGGGAAACUGCCUGAUGGAGGGGGAUAACUACUGGAAACGGUAGCUAAUACCGCAUAACGUCGCAAGACCAGAGAGGGGGACCUUCGGGCCUCUUGCCAUCAGAUGUGCCCAGAUGGGAUUAGCUAGUAGGUGGGGUAACGGCUCACCUAGGCGACGAUCCCUAGCUGGUCUGAGAGGAUGACCAGCCACACUGGAACUGAGACACGGUCCAGACUCCUACGGGAGGCAGCAGUGGGGAAUAUUGCACAAUGGGCGCAAGCCUGAUGCAGCCAUGCCGCGUGUAUGAAGAAGGCCUUCGGGUUGUAAAGUACUUUCAGCGGGGAGGAAGGCGAUAAGGUUAAUAACCUUGUCGAUUGACGUUACCCGCAGAAGAAGCACCGGCUAACUCCGUGCCAGCAGUCGCGGUAAUACGGAGGGUGCAAGCGUUAAUCGGAAUUACUGGGCGUAAAGCGCACGCAGGCGGUCUGUCAAGUCGGAUGUGAAAUCCCCGGGCUCAACCUGGGAACUGCAUUCGAAACUGGCAGGCUGGAGUCUUGUAGAGGGGGGUAGAAUUCCAGGUGUAGCGGUGAAAUGCGUAGAGAUCUGGAGGAAUACCGGUGGCGAAGGCGGCCCCCUGGACAAAGACUGACGCUCAGGUGCGAAAGCGUGGGGAGCAAACAGGAUUAGAUACCCUGG
This 700-nucleotide ribosomal RNA is filed under the name uncultured bacterium. RNAcentral's name for it is "bacterial SSU rRNA". It matches the Rfam family "Bacterial small subunit ribosomal RNA", at positions 94 to 790 of the family's 1533-position model. The record is from RNAcentral.